AUGGAGAUUGCUAUUGAGAAUGUUUGGCCAGAUACAACACACCGUUGGUGCAAGUGGCAUAUUCUUCGUAAGGCUAAAGAGAGUUUGGGUUUUCAUUAUACAAAGAAGAGUGACUUCCGAGCAGAAUUGCAUAGAUUGGUGAACCACAUGCUAACUAUCGGAGAGUUUGAGAAGGGGUGGGUGGAGAUUAUGAAGAAAUACAGUUUGCAGAGCAAUACAUUCCUUACACAAAUUUUUGAGGUGAGGCGGAAGUGGGCGAAGCCAUAUUUUUCUGGUAAAUUUUGUGCAAAAAUGACGAGCACACAAAGGAGUGAGAGCGCAAAUCACAUGCUUAAAAAUUAUGUUCCUCCAGCAUGCCCAAUGAAUCUUUUUGUGAAGCAGUAUGCAAAAGUACUAUUUGAUAGAGAGCAAGAAGAAGGUUUCCAAGAAAAAAGGACCAAAUUGGCAGGAGUAGUCCUAAAAGUUGACAUACCAAUUGAACGACAUGCAAGCACGGUGUAUACUCGGGCCAUGUUUGAGCUGUUUGCAAAAAAGUCUUUACUACUCUGGAUCUUAUUACAUCGAAGAAUUAGUUCCAAGGACUGA
This 585-nucleotide ribosomal RNA is filed under the name Triticum aestivum (bread wheat). RNAcentral describes it as "partial small subunit ribosomal RNA". The record is from RNAcentral. Lineage: Eukaryota; Viridiplantae; Streptophyta; Magnoliopsida; Poales; Poaceae.